RNAcentral lists this ribosomal RNA (118 nucleotides) under Pantoea agglomerans. Lineage: Bacteria; Pseudomonadati; Pseudomonadota; Gammaproteobacteria; Enterobacterales; Erwiniaceae. The record is from RNAcentral.
GCCUGGCGGCUUUAGCGCGGUGGUCCCACCUGACCCCAUGCCGAACUCAGAAGUGAAACGCCGUAGCGCCGAUGGUAGUGUGGGGUCUCCCCAUGCGAGAGUAGGGAACUGCCAGGCA